UGCCAACUUUCUCCAUGGUGGUUCUUUUCCUGGUGACAGGUCAGAGCGGGAGGGAAAUAAGCCCAGACCAUAGAGAAACUGCUCAGGAAAACUUUCUAUUCAUGAUUCGGUCAGUUACAGAAGGCUUCCCUGUCAUAGCCCUGGGUGGGGAGGUGGCUUUGCCCCACUUCCUCUGUCCUCCUGCCUGGAGAGCAGGGGAUGAAGGUGCUGAGAUGCUCUUUUCUUAUGUGAGUCACUCCCUUGCGUGCCCCACAGGACAGCGUGGGAAGCAGUACACAGUGUUUGCAGCACCUCCACCAGCAGCUUCACCUCUGCUGGGCACAACCUCGCCCCUCCCUCUCAGCUCCUGCCAAAGGGGCCCAUCCAGCCCCCUCCCCAUUUCUCAUCUAUGAUGCUGGAGCCAGUACCCAGGAGGCACUCAUCUACCUGCACUGGUGGUUGCCCCAUCACCUACAAAUGAGCUGAUUUUCCUGCCAGAUCAGAUAUUGCUUUGUGCCUCCAUGCCUCCCUCUAGCUGGCCUCACUAGCACAUGCUGUCCCAGAUUCCCAGUGGAUGAAAGGCAGCCUUUGACGCAGUUUAGACUUAGUCAGGUCACUUCACAUUUAUUCAGUGCUAAGCAGUCUUCAUCUUUUCCUCUGUUAAUCUUCAGACUCUCUUCUUUGAGUCACUUUCACAGAAGCUCUAAAGGAGUUUUCUCUGCUUCACUCGGACAGGCUCCUUUUCUCCCACCUGAGCCCCUGUGUCUUGUAUCAUCAGACCAAGCACGUCCUGUGCUCGUUCCCUCACCUCCAUAGCAUUGCACCUCAGGCACUGGACUGUCAGUCACUUUGCCUAAAGCACAAGGCCCCAGCCUGUUUGAAACAGCUUCCUUCAGGAGGUCCCAAGAGGCCAUGCCUGUGAAAAGCUACAUUUCUUUGCUGUCACUGAGACUUCUAGGUUCCCAUGCCAGAGGAGAGCCACGAUGUCUCCUUCACUGCCCCUCUCACUUUUGAGGCAAGAAAUACACUGUGUAGCAGCAUACCAGGCUCUUUGUAAGACAAGUCCUCUGGACCCUCUGCCCUGCAGGAUGGACACUGGGGCAAGAAGAAGUUUUUCCUCCCUAUCUUCCAUUAGGCAUUGACCUGUGGAGCCCUCCCAGGCUUUGCUGAGAAGCCUGUGGCUCUUCUCAGAACAUCUGAGGUAGGGGUCUGUCCUGAGAAGUUGGGUACACUCAGGGAGUGAGGGUGUAAA
Long non-coding RNA from Gavialis gangeticus (Gharial), 1231 nucleotides. RefSeq lists it as uncharacterized. The record is from RefSeq and is a predicted model, not a curated record. The transcript has 2 exons. NCBI's taxonomy places the organism in Eukaryota, Metazoa, Chordata, Crocodylia, Gavialidae.